CUCGACGGCGCGGCCAGCUCGGCGCAGUCAGUACACGCGUCCCGACGCCCGGGAAUGCGUCCGUCGACGGAGGUGUAGUUUUGCCGCGCGACUCUCACGAUCGUGCGGGUGACACUUGGCCGGAAAACGUGCAAAAUUCGCGAGUCCACUCGAGGAAAGAGGGGAAAAAAUAGUGCGCGGACGAAAGGGGAAAAAAAAGGAUACGCGCGUAUAUGGCGCGCCGUGUCACACUCUUGCCAGUAUAAUGCUACACUUUCUUCGCGAGGUAAUAUUCCUCGAGAUGGGAGAAUUAUUAAUUUCUUUUUUCUUUCUUUGUUUCUUUCUUUCGCUAAAAUUGACAGUGAAGUUAAUUUACUUUUACACGCCCUCCGUCAAGCGGCGAUAUCACGCUCGAGGAUUUGAAUCCCUUCGGUAGAACCGGAGUGAGUUUGACAUGUAUAGAUAACAGUCCAUUGUCGACGCGGAUGCGGAGAGUGGUCUUUGUAAUUUGGACGACGCACUGUGUGUAAGGCUGAAGCAAAAGGCAGGAGAGGGAAGAGAUAUGCCCACGUUGGUAUGCCACGGUGCAAUUGCAGUGCAGUCGCGUUCUUUUUGCGUGAUAAGUUGCUCCGGCGCUGAACAUGGCAGCCGCGAUCUCAAAUAAAAAUCGACGCGAGUACGCGUAAAACUGGCGUUACUGCGACGUUAACGUAAACGAUAUUGUUAAAAGGACGUUUUAGAGCAUUUUACGCAAGCAGUGAGUUACUGCGCUGUAGUUCACGUUAUGCGUGGAUGCUGCAGGGAGAAAGAGAGCUCAGAUAUUCUCUUUCCUUUCUCUUCUUCCGCCCUUUCAACUACACGACUCACAUACCGAACGUGUUUCUCUGUGUGCAGAGAAAGAGAAAAAAGUGUAGAAUGAGGGUGGCACGGCUAUUACUGUGCUGCGUACUUCUCGAAGACUACAGCACCAAUCUCGGCGGAACGGCAAUUACCAGUGACGCCAUGCGCCGCCAAGACGGCUCCUCGUCCGCGACGAAUCCGACGCUAUCAGAUGUGCCGAGCUUCUCCGAGCCGAUCGGCAACGUGACCGCCGCUAUUGGCAAAGAGGUCGCUCUCUCCUGUACCAUCAGGAAAGUGGGAAAUUACAAGGUGGGAUGGCUGCGCGCCGAGGAUCAGACGGUACUAUCGAUGGGCGAUCGCAAAGUUAUCCAGUCGACCCGAUACUUGGUCACCCUGGAGAACGCCAAGACGAAGAACCAGACGCAGUCGCGGGAGGACGAGGAGGCCACUUGGCAGUUGCAUAUUCGGGGGCUGAAGGAGGCCGAUCGUGGCUGCUACAUGUGCCAACUCAACACCAAGCCCAUGAUAAGCCAGCUGGGAUGCGUGGACGUCCUAGUGCCGCCCGAUAUUCUGAGUUCCGGUACCUCAGACGGCGAGGUCUCCGUUCUCGAGGGUGAGAACGCCACGUUGUCGUGCAACGCGUCCGGACGACCGCCGCCUCGCGUGUUCUGGCGACGCGAGAAAAGUGAUUUCAUACUCGUCAGGGGUAUUCACGAUCCGUUGAUACAAGUGGACAACCUGUCGGGCGAGAGGCUAGAAUUAACCAGGGUAGACAGGAGGCAAAUGGGGGCUUAUCUUUGCAUAGCUAGAAACGAAGUGCCUCCGGCGGUCAGCAAGAGGGUUAAUCUAAAAGUAAAUUUCCCUCCUAGCGCGAAAGCACCCAAUCAGCUGCUCAGUUCUCCCCUGGAUACAAACGUGUCGCUAAUCUGCUUAAUCGAGGCUUAUCCCAAGACGAUUAACUUGUGGAUGCGGAAGGAGCAAGUUAUCAUGAGCGGAGGCAGAUACGAAAUCGACGAGCGAGGGGACCCCGACGAGGAAUGGAAGACGACGAUCGUGUUGAAGAUAAGACGCUUGGAGAAAACGGAUUUGGGUGAAUACACGUGCUCAGCCUCCUCAAGUAUGGGAAAAGCGGAGGCGACUCUCAGGGUGUACGAGAUCGAGCGCGUAACCAUGCCCAACCGCGUCACCUCGACCAACUGGAAGCGACUGAACCGAGGCAAGUCAAAGCUCGGGCAAGGGACGAUAGGCAAUAAUCGGCUUAUCUACCAGCAGGUGAGCACGCCGGCGAUGCAGAAGAGCACGGCGCGAUUGAUUCACAACAGGUACGCGACCACAUCGACCACCGCGGACCCGCGUGCUCCCUUAAUUAAGGACCAGGGUAACGCCUUUAAGCACAACAACCACAAUGACAACCACCAGAAUCUUAAGGAUAGCAGCGACGCAUCCGCAGUCAUCGCCAGCAAGCGGAUCGUCUUGCCGCUCUGUCUCGUAUUGUUCUCGACAGUGCGAUAAGACGCGAAGUGACGAGAAUUACGAGGAUGAGGAGGACGACGACGACGAUUGCCACCCCUUUGCAAAAGGAAUUACUCUGUGAGCCAGCAUGGAAUUGUGUUCAUCGAUCUGACAAACAGUGGGGGAUAAGCGAAAGAAGCUCACGAGAAGUCUCGCAAACGAAAAACACGGGGGAAACGAUUCUCAGACAACGACGACCGGGGGUCGAGGGGCUGAUGAAAGAACCAACUCCUCCUCUUAAUUAGCCAGAUCAACGUUCUUAGUAGCACGGGGAAAGAUCGAGAGGCAAGCGAACACUUGGACGCUUUUACAGGGCACCGCGCUGUCUGAAAGUUAAAACUACGAGGGAGAGAUUUUUAUUAUUCGAGGAGCGAGUGAUUAUUCCUCUUUCUUUUCGUGAGAUUAAUAGGUAACUUGGGAGUAAUUUUAUAUAACGUUAGCGUCAAAAGCCUUAUAUAUAUGCAGGGUGUCUAUCUGAAAUGAGCUGUCACUGUCGUUGACGACGGGGUAGAGCCCGCAGAGUUUAAUCGCUUACGUGCGAAUUGCAAUCUUGAUGUGCAUACAUAUACAUAUAUCUCGUAACGACAGUGACGACUCAGUUAAAGUGAACAUCCGUUACGUUGCCAUUGUAAUACGUCUUCAUCGAUGAAUCACACGAACUUUCCGAGCAAUUGUGCGAUCGUACCCAAACGCAGACAAAUAAUUAGCAUACUAAUUUGUAUGUAAGAAAUAAGACGAUAAUAUCUUUGUUUAUUGUGAUUGUAAGGGAGCGAAUCGAUAUUAUACUUGGCAUCAUAGCGAGCGUUAUCACGUCAUAUCCGAAAUAAGAUCCAUAUCCUCUAGCACAUAUAAUAGCAUACCGAACACUUUAGGGAAAUAUUCUAGGCCAUUUCGGUUAUCUUGCGUAUUUUUUUAAAUUACUUGUAGACAAAUACUGUACCUUAUAUAUGUCGGUAAUGAGGCGAGACCACGUUAUAGGUAUAGCGUAAGUGGUUAAACGCGAGGGAUGUGACAGAUGUAUUCGCUUUUUAAAUAAAAAAAACCGCGUUAAACUUAA
Vollenhovia emeryi is the source of this 3388-nucleotide RNA transcript. It is a transcript of the gene named lachesin-like, with no coding region annotated. The record is from RefSeq and is a predicted model, not a curated record. The transcript has 10 exons. Lineage: Eukaryota; Metazoa; Arthropoda; Insecta; Hymenoptera; Formicidae.